This 73-nucleotide transfer RNA is filed under the name Candidatus Shikimatogenerans bostrichidophilus. RNAcentral's name for it is "tRNA-Met". It matches the Rfam family "tRNA". Rfam says of the family: Transfer RNA (tRNA) molecules are approximately 80 nucleotides in length. Their secondary structure includes four short double-helical elements and three loops (D, anti-codon, and T loops). Lineage: Bacteria; Pseudomonadati; Bacteroidota; Flavobacteriia; Flavobacteriales. The record is from RNAcentral.
UGCGGAGUGGAGCAAUUGGUAGCUCGUCGGGCUCAUAACCCGAAGGUCACAGGUUCGAAUCCUGUCUCCGCUA